RNAcentral lists this ribosomal RNA (391 nucleotides) under uncultured bacterium. RNAcentral's name for it is "bacterial SSU rRNA". It matches the Rfam family "Bacterial small subunit ribosomal RNA", at positions 29 to 449 of the family's 1533-position model. The record is from RNAcentral.
AACGAACGCUGGCGGCAGGCUUAACACAUGCAAGUCGAACGCCCCGCAAGGGGAGUGGCAGACGGGUGAGUAACGCGUGGGAACGUACCUUUCAGUUCGGAAUAACUCAGGGAAACUUGUGCUAAUACCGGAUACGCCCGCAAGGGGAAAGAUUUAUCGCUGAAAGAUCGGCCCGCGUUGGAUUAGCUAGUUGGUGGGGUAAAGGCCUACCAAGGCGACGAUCCAUAGCUGGUCUGAGAGGAUGAUCAGCCACACUGGGACUGAGACACGGCCCAGACUCCUACGGGAGGCAGCAGUGGGGAAUAUUGGACAAUGGGCGCAAGCCUGAUCCAGCCAUGCCGCGUGUGUGAUGAAGGCCUUAGGGUUGUAAAGCACUUUCUACCGACUGAAG